Molecule: long non-coding RNA, 369 nt
Filed under: Ananas comosus (pineapple)
Lineage: Eukaryota; Viridiplantae; Streptophyta; Magnoliopsida; Poales; Bromeliaceae
Description: long non-coding RNA (ACOM_LNC038840)
Source: RNAcentral
GGAGGUUGCUGCGGCACCGCAGCCUUAGAGCGGGGGGUCUUUAGCAGCGUCAUCACCGGCGCCGUUGGCGAAGAGGUGUGAUAAAAAAAAAUUAUAGAAAAAAAAAGAAGAAAAAAAUAAAGAUAAAAAAUUAUAUAAGAAGGAAGAAGAAGAUGAAAUUGGACUGUAAAAAUAAAAUUACACUGUUUUAAAAUAAAUUUAUGCUGUUUUAUUGAAAAUUGCUCUAUUUGAUAUAAAAAUUACACUCUUUUAAAAUAAAUUUUACAUUCUUUAGGCUAAUGCUGCACUAUUUAGGAUAAUUUUGCACUAUUUUUUUUUUCUUUUUCUUUUUCUCUUUCUCUUCUUCUUCUCCAAUUCUCUUUUUUCCAU